AUUUUUUUUUUCCUAUAAAUAGCUUUCCAAUCGUCCAUUUCCUUCACAUUGCUUUUCCAUAUUUAAUGAUGAAAAAUAUACUUCUCUUUUGGUUGCUCCUCAUAGCAACCAUUAAUUGUGUUGGCUUCUGCUAUGCAGCUUGCAUUCUGAGCAAGAAGGAAGCCCUUUCGAAGUUCAAGCAUCAUCUUUCCAAUCCUUCAAACCCGCUCUUAUAUUCGGGUGGAGACUGCUGCGGAAUGGAGUCAUCUGCGACUACUAAACCACCCUGUUUGAUAAUAAAUUUGACUUUCGAUAAAAAAGCUGUGCAAAAACUCGCACUUUGAAGAAUAUGUUGUACUAUACGGAUCCAAACGCUGAAUAAUUACUCUUUUAUGAAGUUGCGUCUGUCUCGUUUAUUAUGGAUCAAUGGUUCAUCAACUGGAGCUCUCUAGAGUUAUUGUUAGUGAAGGUUGUUCAGUUUAUCCAAGAAACAGAAAAUGCUAAUUUUUUUUUUUUUUAUGUUAGACUGAAACUAAUAACAAUUUAAAUUUCUUAAUCAAUAAACUCAUAAAAUCA
RNAcentral lists this unclassified non-coding RNA (555 nucleotides) under Hevea brasiliensis (rubber tree). The record is from RNAcentral. Lineage: Eukaryota; Viridiplantae; Streptophyta; Magnoliopsida; Malpighiales; Euphorbiaceae.